GAUGAACGCUGGCGGCGUGCUUAACACAUGCAAGUCGAACGGAAAGGCCCAAGCUUGCUUGGGUGCUCGAGUGGCGAACGGGUGAGUAACACGUGGGUGAUCUGCCCUGCACUUUGGGAUAAGCCUGGGAAACUGGGUCUAAUACCGGAUAGGACCAUCGUUUAGUGUCGGUGGUGGAAAGUUUUUCGGUGUGGGAUGAGCUCGCGGCCUAUCAGCUUGUUGGUGGGGUAAUGGCCUACCAAGGCGUCGACGGGUAGCCGGCCUGAGAGGGUGUACGGCCACAUUGGGACUGAGAUGCGGCCCAGACUCCUACGGGAGGCAGCAGUGGGGAAUAUUGCACAAUGGGCGCAAGCCUGAUGCAGCGACGCCGCGUGGGGGAUGACGGCCUUCGGGUUGGAAACUCCUUUCGCCAAGGACGAAGCGUUUUGUGACGGUACUUGGAGAAGAAGCACCGGCUAACUACGUG
Molecule: ribosomal RNA, 466 nt
Filed under: uncultured bacterium
Lineage: Bacteria
Description: partial 16S ribosomal RNA
Rfam family: Bacterial small subunit ribosomal RNA
Source: RNAcentral